GCAUAUCAAUAAGCGGAGGAAAAGAAACCAACAGGGAUUGCCCUAGUAACGGCGAGUGAAGCGGCAACAGCUCAAAUUUGAAAUCUGGCCCUCUCAGGGUCCGAGUUGUAAUUUGCAGAGGGUGCUUUGGUGUUGGCUGUGGUCUAAGUUCCUUGGAACAGGACGUCACAGAGGGUGAGAAUCCCGUACGUGGCCGCCAGCCUCCACCGUGUAAAGCCCCUUCGACGAGUCGAGUUGUUUGGGAAUGCAGCUCUAAAUGGGAGGUAAAUUCCUUCUAAAGCUAAAUACUGGCCAGAGACCGAUAGCGCACAAGUAGAGUGAUCGAAAGAUGAAAAGCACUUUGGAAAGAGAGUCAAAAAGCACGUGAAAUUGUUGAAAGGGAAGCGCUUGCAGCCAGACUUGCCUGUAGUUGCUCACCUUGGCUUCUGCCUUGGGUACUCUUCUACGGGCAGGCCAGCAUCAGUCCGGGCGGUUGGAUAAAUGCUCGCGGAAUGUACCUCUCUCCGGGGAGGACUUAUAGCCGCAGGCGCCAUACAACCAGCCUGGACUGAGGUCCGCGCAUCUGCUAGGAUGCUGGCGUAAUGGCUGUAAGCGGCCCGUCUUGAAACACGGACCAAGGAGUCUAACAUCUAUGCGAGUGUUUGGGUGUAAAGCCCGAGCGCGGAAUGAAAGUGAACGGAGGUGGGAACCCCUCGGGGUGCACCAUCGACCGAUCCUGAAGUUUACGGAUGGAUUUGAGUAUGAGCAUAGCUGUUGGGACCCGAAAGAUGGUGAACUAUGCCUGAAUAGGGUGAAGCCAGAGGAAACUCUGGUGGAGGCUCGCAGCGGUUCUGACGUGCAAAUCGAUCGUCAAAUUUGGGCAUAGGGGGCGAAAGACUAAUCGAACCAAUCUAGUAGCUGGUUCCUGCCGAG
This 912-nucleotide ribosomal RNA is filed under the name Westerdykella nigra. Its description in RNAcentral is "LSU rRNA". It matches the Rfam family "Eukaryotic large subunit ribosomal RNA", at positions 38 to 965 of the family's 3401-position model. The record is from RNAcentral. Lineage: Eukaryota; Fungi; Ascomycota; Dothideomycetes; Pleosporales; Sporormiaceae.